Molecule: ribosomal RNA, 871 nt
Filed under: uncultured fungus
Lineage: Eukaryota; Fungi
Description: LSU rRNA
Rfam family: Eukaryotic large subunit ribosomal RNA
Source: RNAcentral
GCCCUAGUAACGGCGAGUGAAGCGGCAAUAGCUCAAAUUUGAAAGCUGGCCUUUGGUCCGCAUUGUAAUUUGUAGAGGAUGCUUUUAGGCAGCCGCCGGUCUAAGUUCCUUGGAACAGGACGUCAUAGAGGGUGAGAAUCCCGUAUGUGACCGGCUCAGGCACCUUCUGUAAGCUCCUUCGACGAGUCGAGUUGUUUGGGAAUGCAGCUCUAAAUGGGAGGUAAAUUUCUUCUAAAGCUAAAUACUGGCGAGAGACCGAUAGCGCACAAGUAGAGUGAUCGAAAGAUGAAAAGUACUUUGGAAAGAGAGUUAAAAAGCACGUGAAAUUGUUGAAAGGGAAGCGCUUGCAAUCAGACUUGGCCUCGGUUGUUCAACCGGUCUUUUGACCGGCCUAUUCAAUCGGGGGCAGGCCAGCAUCAGUUUCGGCGGCCGGAUAAAGGCCUUGGGAAUGUGGCCUCUCCUUCGGGGGAGGUGUUAUAGCCCAGGGUGUAAUACGGUCAGCUGGGACUGAGGUCCGCGCUUCGGCUAGGAUGCUGGCGUAAUGGUUGUAAGCGGCCCGUCUUGAAACACGGACCAAGGAGUCUAACAUCUAUGCGAGUGUUAGGGUGUCAAACCCUUACGCGUAAUGAAAGUGAACGGAGGUGGGAACCCGCAAGGGUGCACCAUCGACCGAUCCUGAUGUCUUCGGAUGGAUUUGAGUAAGAGCAUAGCUGUUGGGACCCGAAAGAUGGUGAACUAUGCCUGAAUAGGGUGAAGCCAGAGGAAACUCUGGUGGAGGCUCGCAGCGGUUCUGACGUGCAAAUCGAUCGUCAAAUUUGGGUAUAGGGGCGAAAGACUAAUCGAACCAUCUAGUAGCUGGUUCCUGCCGAAG